RNAcentral lists this ribosomal RNA (388 nucleotides) under uncultured bacterium. RNAcentral describes it as "bacterial SSU rRNA". It matches the Rfam family "Bacterial small subunit ribosomal RNA", at positions 57 to 439 of the family's 1533-position model. The record is from RNAcentral.
GCAAGUCGAGGGGUAACGGAAGUAGCUUGCUACUAGACGACGACCGGCGCACGGGUGAGUAACGCGUAUGUAAUCUGCCUUGUACAGAGGGAUAGCCCAGAGAAAUUUGGAUUAAUACCUCAUAGUAUUACUGGAUCGCAUGAUUUGGUAAUUAAAGCUCCGGCGGUACAAGAUGAACAUGCGUGACAUUAGCUAGUUGGUAAGGUAACGGCUUACCAAGGCUACGAUGUCUAGGGGUUCUGAGAGGAUGAUCCCCCACACUGGUACUGAGACACGGACCAGACUCCUACGGGAGGCAGCAGUGAGGAAUAUUGGUCAAUGGACGCAAGUCUGAACCAGCCAUCCCGCGUGAAGGAUGACUGCCCUAUGGGUUGUAAACUUCUUUUAU